GGUGUGGUGCACUGUCUACUGUGCCACCUAGCUGCCCCAUGAAGAAACUGUGCUCAGUGACUUGGACAAGGUUACCCAGGCACAAGUCAAGACAUCCUCCUGUGAUCUCAUUGGUCCUCUUCAAAAAUGAAGGACAAAUAACACCUCCCAUGAUGUGAUGAAAAAAUUGAUGUGGUUGAUGUUCAGAUAUUGACAGGAUGCUUUGAGAAUAUCGGCAGGAGCUCUCCAUCCGGCCAGGCAACAUAGGCACAGUGGACCAGGGUCUUUCCCUUCUUUUGAGUCUGUCCAGAAUUAAGCAAAAGUAACCUGAAAUCACCUCAGGGUAUUUAACAUAUUAAAGCAAACCAUUUGAAUUAUGGUUUUCAUACCCUUUCUCCCCCAAGUGGAGAAACAAGGUGAAGUAUGGGUAAAGUGACAUCAGUUCCUUGGUAACAGUGGGGCAACAAGAUCCCAAACAAAUCAUUCUUUCCUUAGUAAGUAAACAAGAUAAAAAAAAAGAUUCCUGAAAACCUCUCAGAGAUUUUCCAUCAUCCAGCCUUUCCAUCACAACAGCUACUCCAUCACCAAGGCUGUUCCUCCCUCAAUAAAGCUUAUUCCUUCACCA
This 604-nucleotide long non-coding RNA is filed under the name Monodelphis domestica (gray short-tailed opossum). RNAcentral's name for it is "lncRNA (ENSMODG00000045913.1)". Lineage: Eukaryota; Metazoa; Chordata; Mammalia; Didelphimorphia; Didelphidae. The record is from RNAcentral.